UUUGUUUUCACGCACAAAGCUCUGGAAAGAACGAAGAAUCCACUUCCUUCGCGCACAAAGUUUUUGCGCACACAGUAUCCCCUUCCUUCGACCUAGCAUAGUCUUCUUCUUCCUCUGAUUCAUCGAUUCAGUCCUCUUCUUCUACCUCAGUCCUCUUCUUCCUCCGAUUUAUGCAUUUUUCGCCUCCAAUUUCCACUCGAAUAGAAAGAACGAAGAAAACUCAAUCUCCGUCGAACUCAGCCUUCGCCAGCUCACCACCGUCAUCUUUCUAUUUAUUGGUAUCUGGUAAUUGGAAACAAGUGGGAUUCCUAUCUCGAUUUUCUCCAAGCUGAUUACAGGUUAAAUAUGGUUUCUACUAAUGAUGAAAGUAGUUCGUCUAGUACGAAAACAGUUGGUAAACGUGGUGUAACCCGAUUGCAAAAAAUUCACAAAGCCAAAAGCAAUGGAAAGAGGAUUGACCCGAUUGCAAAAAAUUCACAAAGUCAAGAACCAAGUGAUAAAGGUUUUUGCAACCCUGGAUCAGUUGGCAAUAUUCCUGAGGGUCUCUUUCCUGUUAAUCUAUAUUUAUCAUCCCCGAGUCGGUGUUUGGUUGCACGUGGCAAACUAUAUAAUACCAAAGGCAACACAGUGCACGGCAUGACUCUACCACCUGGAUAUGUCAAGGUUAAUAUCGAAAUUGCUCUUGUUCCAAGUGAUUAUAUAUUUGGGUUCGAAAGUGCUUUGGUUUGCGAAGUGGUUACUACUUGAUGUUGGUUUGUUGUCCUUAUUUUUUUUAGUGAUUGUACUUUUUGUUUGGAAUUUAGUUUGAUAUACUCUUAGUUGGACCAAAUUAAUAAAUU
Vicia villosa (hairy vetch) is the source of this 839-nucleotide long non-coding RNA. RefSeq lists it as uncharacterized. The transcript has 4 exons. The record is from RefSeq and is a predicted model, not a curated record. NCBI's taxonomy places the organism in Eukaryota, Viridiplantae, Streptophyta, Magnoliopsida, Fabales, Fabaceae.